This 2382-nucleotide long non-coding RNA is filed under the name Sus scrofa (pig). RNAcentral's name for it is "lncRNA (ENSSSCG00000056792.1, ENSSSCG00110018356.1)". Lineage: Eukaryota; Metazoa; Chordata; Mammalia; Artiodactyla; Suidae. The record is from RNAcentral.
AAAAUGAUUAAUUUUAUGUUAUAUAAAUUUUGCCUCAAUAAAAAGAAAAGGGAAUGUAGGAGGAAGGAUCAGGUCUGGGUUCUGGCAUGGUUCCAGGAAGAAGUACAGGCACAGUGAGGGUCCCACAGGCUUUCCUGCUAUACUUGCAAUCAGCGAGAAGGUUGUAGGGCGAAGGGUGUGGGUGCCCCUGCCCCUUACUCGCCACACAGCUCAGGCCCCUCCCUUCACUGCCUGUGGCAGCCCCACUGUCCUCCAAGCUUCCUUCAGUGGGGUCCAGGAGUGGAGUGGGGUCUCUGUGUGCCCAAAGGCUCCCUGCCCGUCGCCAGAGAACAGGCCUAGCAGUAAAUUGGUCCUAUAAGCUCAUGUCCUGCCCCCAGUUUGGGGUCCCAGGCUCCUGGGAAACUGCUCACUUCCUGGGGCCCCAGCUGGGAGCCUCCCAAUGGGCUGGUCCGCUUGGCCGCUGCCCCUUCUAAACAUAGCCUUCCUGCUAACAAAAAUCACCCAGCAUAGCCAUCACCACCGCCCUUUGCCCCUGUGGCCUCAAGACACAGGACAGAGCAAGACACAAAGGAGAGUGCUGAGAUGGACAGACGAACGGCAGCUGAGCUGGGAGGACCCAAUGGCCCUGGCACUAGCUUCAGCUAAGGCUUCACACGGCCCUUUCCUGCCGACCUAAAGACCCAGUCAGGCCACUGUCCCUACAAACUGACCAUAUUUACCAAGGACUUUCCCAGCUUCAGUACAGGAAGUCCUGUCUCCCCCACCCCAAAUCCCUCAGAACCAACAAGCUGAGAUGGCUGGUCACCACAUCUGCUUGUCUUGCAGGGGCCGCAGAAGAGAGGUGACAGGGCCGACAGGCCAAAAGUCAGGAGGGCCCAGGUUCCUGUCCCCACCCGGCCAACAACAAGUUGUGUACCUAAUGGCUCAGAACACUGUGUCCUGGUAUGUUUGAGCAGGAUUUGAAUCUCUCCUCACUUCAAACAAAGAAAAACAAAAACAAAAGACACUGUUAUGGACUGAAUUGUGUACCCUCACACUGACAUGUCAAAGCCUUGACCCUUAGGACCACAGAAUGUGACUGCAUUUGGAAGUGACUAUGUUAAAAAAUGGGGUUGUGAGUAUGAGCCCUAAUCCAAUAUGAUGGGUGUCCAUACAAGAAGCUGAGACACACCCACACCCACGGAAGACCACGUGGGGACACAGGGAGAAGACGCCCAUCUGUAAGACAGAAAGAGGCCUCAGGAGGACUAACCCUGCAAAUCCACCAAGCUAGAGAGUGGAUUCAUGGUUGCCAAGGGCUGAGGGGGGCGGGGAGUGACUGCUCAUGCAGACAGGGCUUCUUUUGCAGGGGGAUAAAAUAUUCUCAAACUGAUUGUGGUUGAUAGUUGCACAACCCUGUGAAUAUACAAAAAAAAAAAUUAUAUACUUAUACAUUAAAUGGAUAAACUGAAUGGUAUGUUCAUUCUAACUCAAUAAAGAGAUUUUUAAAAAUCCUCUAGGACUUGCUAAGAAAAAAAAUCCAAUGUGACCUUUAUUCAGUAGCAUUUUCAGGGGAGUUCCCGUCGUGGCGCAGUGGUUAACGAAUCCGACUAGGAACCAUGAGGUUGCGGGUUCGGUCCCUGCCCUUGCUCAGUGGGUUAACGAUCCGGCGUUGCCGUGAGCUGUGGUGUAGGUUGCAGACGCGGCUCGGAUCCCGCGUUGCUGUGGCUCUGGCGUAGGCCGGUGGCUACAGCUCCGAUUCAACCCCUAGCCUGGGAACCUCCAUAUGCCGUGGGAGCGCCCUAAAAAUGGCAGAAAGACAAAAAAAAAAAAAAGAAAGAAAGAAAAAUUCAUUAAUGCCCUCACUAACAGCACAUUACUGUCAAACAGAUAAACUGGGUGCACAGAUUAAUGGAGCACUAAACAUUAUCCACUCAACAAAUGUCUACUGGGCAUGUAGUACCUGGGGUGGCAAACUAUGGCCCAUGGGCCAAGUCCAGCCCAUGGCAUAUUUUUGUACAGCCCUCGAGCUAAGAAUGGGUUCACAUUUUUAAAUGGUCAUGGAAAAAAGUAACAAGAAGAAUUAAAUUUCAUGACACAUGCAAAUUAUGUGAAAUUCAAAUUUCAGUGUCUAUAAAUAAAGUUUUAUUGGCCCGCAGCCAUGUCUAUUCCAGCAUGCAUCAGCUGAGGCUGCUUUUCAGCUUCAUGGCUGAGCUGAGGAGCUGCGCCAGAGACCCUCAAGUCUGCACAGCCUAAAUCGCUUACUUCCUGCAGUGCCUGCUGAGGGCUGCGGUGUGUGUGAGGUCUGGGUGGGGGCUGCAGGGAGAGGUCACUGUGUCCUGCAGGGCAGGCGGGAGCUGGUGCCGAGCCAGGAGGGAGUGCUGGGGGCCUUCCAAGGGCUGC